This 844-nucleotide ribosomal RNA is filed under the name uncultured bacterium. RNAcentral's name for it is "bacterial SSU rRNA". It matches the Rfam family "Bacterial small subunit ribosomal RNA", at positions 64 to 896 of the family's 1533-position model. The record is from RNAcentral.
GAACGGCAGCACAGCAGUAGCAAUACUGUGGGUGGCGAGUGGCGGACGGGUGAGGAAUACAUCGGAAUCUACCUUGUCGUGGGGGAUAACGUAGGGAAACUUACGCUAAUACCGCAUACGAACCAUGGUUGAAAGCGGCGGACCGCAAGGCGUCGCGCGAUUGGAUGAGCCGAUGUCCGAUUAGCUAGUUGGCGGGGUAAUGGCCCACCAAGGCGACGAUCGGUAGCUGGUCUGAGGGGAUGAUCAGCCACACUGGAACUGAGACACGGUCCAGACUCCUACGGGAGGCAGCAGUGGGGAAUAUUGGACAAUGGGGGCAACCCUGAUCCAGCCAUGCCGCGUGUGUGAAGAAGGCCUUCGGGUUGUAAAGCACUUUUGUUGGGGAAGAAAAGCAACCGGUUAAUACCCGGGUGUUCUGACGGUACCCAAAGAAUAAGCACCGGCUAACUUCGUGCCAGCAGCCGCGGUAAUACGAAGGGUGCAAGCGUUACUCGGAAUUACUGGGCGUAAAGCGUGCGUAGGCGGUUUGUUAAGUCUGUCGUGAAAGCCCCGGGCUCAACCUGGGAAUGGCGAUGGAAACUGGCGAGCUAGAGUACGGUAGAGGAGAGUGGAAUUCCCGGUGUAGCAGUGAAAUGCGUAGAGAUCGGGAGGAACAUCAGUUGCGAAGGCGGCUCUCUGGACCAGUACUGACGCUGAGGCACGAAAGCGUGGGGAGCAAACAGGAUUAGAUACCCUGGUAGUCCACGCCCUAAACGAUGCGAACUGGACGUUGGGAGCAAUUAGGCUCUCAGUGUCGAAGCUAACGCGUUAAGUUCGCCGCCUGGGGAGUACGGUCGCAAGACUG